GCCGGAGUGGUGGAAUAGGUAGACACGCGGGAUUUAGGUUCCCGUGCCGCAAGGCGUGAGGGUUCAAGUCCCUUCUCCGGUACCA
This 85-nucleotide transfer RNA is filed under the name Propionibacteriaceae bacterium. RNAcentral describes it as "tRNA-Leu". It matches the Rfam family "tRNA". Rfam says of the family: Transfer RNA (tRNA) molecules are approximately 80 nucleotides in length. Their secondary structure includes four short double-helical elements and three loops (D, anti-codon, and T loops). Lineage: Bacteria; Bacillati; Actinomycetota; Actinomycetes; Propionibacteriales; Propionibacteriaceae. The record is from RNAcentral.